This 1081-nucleotide ribosomal RNA is filed under the name Candidatus Symbiothrix sp. RNAcentral's name for it is "partial 23S ribosomal RNA". It matches the Rfam family "Bacterial large subunit ribosomal RNA", at positions 1 to 1096 of the family's 2925-position model. Lineage: Bacteria; Pseudomonadati; Bacteroidota; Bacteroidia; Bacteroidales. The record is from RNAcentral.
AAGAAAGUAAAUAAGGGCGUAUGGAGGAUGCCUUGGCUCUCAGAGGCGAAGAAGGACGCGAUAAGCUGCGAUAAGCUGCGGGGAGGAGCAAAUAUCCGUUAAUCCGCAGAUUUCCGAAUGGGGCAACCCGGAUGGUUGAAGACCAUCCACCAAUAAGGAGUGAACGCAGGGAACUGAAACAUCUUAGUACCUGCAGGAAAAGAAAACAAUAGUGAUUUCGUAAGUAGUGGCGAGCGAACGCGAAACAGCCCAAACCGAUGAUGUUUCGGCAUUGUCGGGGUUGUAGGACUGCGCCGUAUGUAUUCAAAAGGAAGUGGAAGCAUCUGGAAAGUUGCAUCACAGAGGGUGAUAAUCCCGUACACGUAUAGUUUGAAUAUAUUAGCAGAAUCCUGAGUAGGGCGGGACACGAGGAAUCCUGUCUGAAUCUGCGGGGACCAUCCCGUAAGGCUAAAUACUCCUGAGAGACCGAUAGUGAACCAGUACCGUGAGGGAAAGGUGAAAAGUACUUCGAACAGAAGAGUGAAACAGUACCUGAAACCAUACGCUUACAAGCGGUCGGAGUCCCUAUAGGGAUGACGGCGUGCCUAUUGCAUAAUGAGCCUACGAGUUGCUCUUCUCCGGCAAGGUUAAGUACCUAAGGUACGAAGCCGAAGCGAAAGCGAGUCUGAACAGGGCGCUUGAGUCGGAGGAGGCAGACGCGAAACUUUGUGAUCUACCCAUGACCAGGUUGAAGUUACGAUAACACGUAAUGGAGGACCGAACCGAUAAACGUUGAAAAGUUUCCGGAUGAGUUGUGGGUAGGGGUGAAAGGCUAAUCAAACUGAGAGAUAGCUCGUACUCCCCGAAAUGCAUUUAGGUGCAGCCUGUGGAGAGGUGUAUCAGAGGUAGAGCUACUGAUUGGGCAAGAGGGCUUCACCGCCUAUCGACCCCAGACAAACUCCGAAUGCUGAUACAUCAUACAUGGAGUGAGCCGUCGGGUGCUAAGAUCCGGCGACGAAAGGGAAAGAACCCGGACCAUCAGCUAAGGUCCCCAAAUAUAUGCUAAGUUGAAUGAACGAGGUAUGACUGCAGCGACAGCUAG